Passer montanus (Eurasian tree sparrow) is the source of this 380-nucleotide long non-coding RNA. RefSeq lists it as uncharacterized. The record is from RefSeq and is a predicted model, not a curated record. The transcript is spliced from 3 exons. NCBI's taxonomy places the organism in Eukaryota, Metazoa, Chordata, Aves, Passeriformes, Passeridae.
GGGAAUGAUUAAUUACUAGGAAGAAUUAUUAAUUACCAGAGAAUGAUUAGUUACCAGGGAAUGAUUAAUUACUAGGAUCAAUUAUUAAUUCCCAGGGAAUGAUUAAUUGCCGGGACGGUCCGUGACGGCGGGGCAGGGGUUAAUUAGCGCGGGCAUUAAUUACCGGCGCUGUUAAUGAGCCGCGGCUCGGCCCGAACAGGCCAUGGAUGCCCCCUCGGAUGAAGGUGACGAUGAUGAUGAUGAGGAGUCGGUGCCGCGGGCUCAGCAGCGCCUCCUGCAGGCCAUGGAUGCCCCCUCAGAGGGCAGUGCUGAUGAUGAAGGUGACGAUGACGAUGAUGAUGAGCAGUCAGUGUCACAGGCUCAGCAGCGCCUCCUGCAGG